GGCCGGGUCCUGCGCAAUUUGAGCCCGCGAACCUCGUCAGGUGGGGAACCAAGCAGCGAUAAACGGAGUCUUAAAUGUGAUGCAGGACUACCCGGUGUGA
This 100-nucleotide signal recognition particle RNA is filed under the name Oscillospiraceae bacterium. Its description in RNAcentral is "signal recognition particle sRNA small type". It matches the Rfam family "Bacterial small signal recognition particle RNA". From Rfam's summary of the family: The signal recognition particle (SRP) is a universally conserved ribonucleoprotein involved in the co-translational targeting of proteins to membranes. Lineage: Bacteria; Bacillati; Bacillota; Clostridia; Eubacteriales; Oscillospiraceae. The record is from RNAcentral.